GAGAGGGUGUUGAAGCGGGUGAGGCAGCCGUACUGGUCGUAGUCGCCGGCGUUGGAGGUGCCGUACAGCGUGAGGUAGAUGGGGAAGCAGCCGACGGGGAGCACGCCGGGGACGACGACGUACAUGGCGCCCAGCCCGAUCAGCUGCUCCACCCCCUUCCCGAUCCCGUCCACGAUGGUGCCGCUCUGCCCCGCCGCCUGCUCCGGCGUGUACCCGCCGAACAGCUGCGCGUUGUAGUCGUUGCCCCCGAACUC
RNAcentral lists this unclassified non-coding RNA (254 nucleotides) under Hevea brasiliensis (rubber tree). The record is from RNAcentral. Lineage: Eukaryota; Viridiplantae; Streptophyta; Magnoliopsida; Malpighiales; Euphorbiaceae.